Molecule: long non-coding RNA, 12896 nt
Filed under: Xyrichtys novacula (pearly razorfish)
Lineage: Eukaryota; Metazoa; Chordata; Actinopteri; Labriformes; Labridae
Source: RNAcentral
AUUAGGUUAUGGGGCUUAGGAAAGGUUUAAGGUUUUUGGCGUUAGGGUUAAAAUCACUGUCCAAAACCUUUGUAGGAACUCUUUUCCAACCUUUUGGAGUUAGUUAGACCAAAAAAAAAAGAAAAAUGAAAAAAAAAUAUUUGGGGUUUUGGGGUGCCUGAAGGCAAUACCCGGGAAUCAGUUUCUGGGGCUUUGGAAAGGUUUAAGGUUUUUGGCGUUAGGGUUAAAAUCACUGUCCAAAACCUUUGUAGGAACUCUUUUCCAACCUUUUGGAGUCAGUUCGACCAAAAAAAAAGAAAAAUGAAAAAAAAAUAUUUGGGGUUUUCAGGCUUCCUGGAGGUAAUACCCUAAUAUUAGGUUAAGGGGCUAUGGUAAGGUUUAAGGUUUUUGGCGAUAGGGUUAAACUAACUGUCCAAAACCUUUUUAGGAACAUGUUUCAGACCUUUUGGAGUUGGUUACACACAAAAAAAAUGUAAAAUGAAAAAAAUAUAUUUGGGGUGUUCGGGCUUCCUGAAGGUAUUAGGUUAUGGGGCUAUGGUAAGGGUUCAGUUUUUUGGCGUUAGGGUUAAAAUUAUUGUCCAAAACCUUUGUAGGAACUCUUUUCCAACCUUUUGGAGUCAGUUAGACCAAAAAGAAAAGAAAAAAGAAAAAAAAUAUAUUUGGGGUGUUCGGGCUUCCUGAAGGUAAUACCGGGUAUUAGGUUUUGGGGCUAGGGUAAGGUUUGAGGUUUUUGGCAUUAGGGUUAAAAUCACUGUCCAAAACCUUUGUAGGAACUCUUUUCCAACCUUUUGGAGUUAGGUAGACCAAAAAAAAAAAGAAAAAAAAAAAAAAAUAUUUGGGGUUUUCAGGCUUCCUGGAGGUAAUACCCUAAUAUUAGGUUAAGGGGCUAUGGUAAGGUUUAAGGUUUUUGGCGUUAGGGUUAAACUAACUGUCCAAAACCUUUUUAGGAACAUGUUUCAGACCUUUUGGAGUUGGUUACACACAAAAAAAAUGUAAAAUGAAAAAAAAAUAUUUGGGGUGUUCGGGCUUCCUGAAGGUAUUAGGUUAUGGGGCUAUGGUAAGGGUUCAGUUUUUUGGCGUUAGGGUUAAAAUUAUUGUCCAAAACCUUUGUAGGAACUCUUUUCCAACCUUUUGGAGUUAGGUAGACCAAAAAGAAAAGAAAAAAGAAAAAAAAAUAUUUGGGGUUUUCGGGCUUCCUGAAGGUAAUACCCGGGUAUUAGGUUUUGGGGCUAGGGUAAGGUUUGAGGUUUUUGGCAUUAGGGUUAAAAUCACUGUCCAAAACCUUUUUAGGAACAUGUUUCAGGCAUUUUGCAGUUGGUUAAACCAAAAAAAAAAAGUAAAAUGAAAAAAAAAUAUUUGGGGUGUUCGGGCUUCCUGAAGGUAAUAACCGGGUAUUAGGUUAUGGGGCUAUGGUAAGGUUUAAGGUUUUUUGACGUUAGGGUGAAAAUAACUGUACAAAACCUUUGUAGGAACUCUUUUCCGACCUUUUGGAGUUAGGUAGACCAAAAAAAAAAGAAAAAAGAAAAAAAAAUAUUUGGGGUGUUCGGGCUUCCUGAAGGUAAUACCCGGGUAUUAGGUUUUGGUGCUAGGGUAAGGUUUGAGGUUUUUGGCAUUAGGGUUAAAAUCACUGUCCAAAACCUUUUUAGGAACACCUUUCAGACCUUUUGGAGUUUGUACAACAAAAAAAAAAUGUAAAAUGAAAAAGAAAUAUUUGGGGUGUUCGGGCUUCCUGAAGGUAAUACCCGGGUAUCAGGUUUUUGGGCUAGGGUAAGGUUUGAGGUUUUUGGCGUCAGGGUUAAAAUCAAUGUCCAAAACCUUUGGAGGAACUCUUUUCCAAGCUUUUGGAGUCAGUUACACCAAAAAAAAUGUAAAAUGAAAAAAAAAUAUUUGGGGUGUUCGGGCUUCCUGAAGGUAAUACCCCGGUAUUAGGUUAUGGGGCUAUGGUAAGGGUUAAGGUUUUUGGAUUAGGGUUAAAAUCACUGUCCAAAACCUUUUUAGGAACAUGUUUCAGACCUUUUGCAGUUGGUUAAACCAAAAAAAAAUGUAAAAUGAAAAAAAUAUAUUUGGGGUUUUCGGGCUUCCUGAAGGACCUAUUAGGUUAUGGGACUAUGGUAAGGUUUAAGGUUUUUGGCGUUAGGGUUAAAACCACUGUCCAAAACCUUUGUAGAAACUCUUUUCCAACCUUUUGGAGUUACGUAGACCAAAAAAAAAGGAAAAAUGAAAAAAAAAUAUAUUUGGGGUGUUCGGGCAUCCUGAAGGUAUUAGGUUUUGGGGCUAAGGUAAGGUUUAAGGUUUUUGGCGUGAGGGUUAAAAUCACUGUCAAAAACCUUUGUAGGAACUCUUUUCCAACCUUUUGGAGUCAGUAUGACCAAAAAAUAAAUAAAAAAAAUAAAAAAAAUGUAUUUGGGGUGUUCGGGCUUCCUGAAGGUAAUACCCGGGUAUUAGGUUAUGGGGCUUAGGAAAGGUUUAAGGUUUUUGGCAUUAGGGUUAAAAUCACUGUCCAAAACCUUUGUAGGAACUCUUUUCCAACCUUUUGGAGUUAGGUAGACCAAAAAAAAAAGAAAAAAGAAAGAAAAAUAUUUGGGGUUUUCGGGCUUCCUGAAGGUAAUACCGGGGUAUUAGGUUAUGGGGCUAUGGUAAGGUUUAAGGUUUUUGACGUUAGGGUUAAAAUCACUGUCAAAAACCUUUGUAGGAACUCUUUUCCAACCUUAUGGAGUUCGUGAGACCAAAAAAAAAAAGACAAAUGAAAAAAAAAAAUUUGGGGUGUUCGGGCUUCCUGAAGGUAAUACCCGGGUAUUAGGUUAUGGGGCUAGGGUAAGGUUUGAGGUUUUUGGCAUUAGGGUUAAAAUCACUGUCCAAAACCUUUGUAGGAACUCUUUUCCAACCUUUUGGAGUUAGACCAAAAAAGAAUGAAAAAUGAAAAGAAAAUAUUUGGGGUUUUCGGGCUUCCUGAAGGUAAUACCCGGGUAUCAGGUUAUGGGGCUAUGGUAAGGUUUAAGGUUUUUGGCGUUAGGGUUAAAAUCACUGUCCAAAACCUUUGUAGGAACUCUUUUCCAACCUUUUGGAGUCAGUUAGACAAAAAAAAUGAAAAAUGAAAUAAAAAAUAUUUGGGGUGUUCAGGCUUCCUGAAGGUAAUACCCGGUAUUAGGUUAUGGGGCUUAGGAAAGGUUUAAGGUUUUUGGCGUUAAGGUUAAAAUCACUGUCCAAAACCUUUGUAGGAACUCUUUUCCAACCUUUUGGAGUCAGUUAGACCAAAAAAAAGAAAAAUGAAAAAAAAAAAUAUUUGGGGUUUUCAGGCUUCCUGGAGGUAAUACCCGGGCAUUAGGUUAUGGGGCUUUGGAAAGGUUUAAGGUUUUUGGCGUUAGGGUUAAAAUCACUGUCCAAAAACCUUUGUAGGAACUCUUUUCCAACCUUUUGGAGUUAGGUAGACCAAAAAAAAAAAGAAAAAAGAAAAAAAAAUAUUUGGGGUGUUCGGGCUUCCUGAAGGUAAUACCCGGGUAUUAGGUUUUGGGGCUAGGGUAAGGUUUGAGGUUUUUGGCAUUAGGGUUAAAAUCACUGUCCAAAACCUUUGUAGGAACUCUUUUCCAACCUUUUGGAGUUAGUUAGACCAAAAAAAAAGAAAAAUGAAAAAAAUAUAUUUUGGGUUUUCGGGCUUCCUGAAGGCAAUACCCGGGAAUCAGUUUCUGGGGCUUUGGAAAGGUUUAAGGUUUUUGGCGUUAGGGUUAAAAUCACUGUCCAAAACCUUUGUAGGAACUCUUUUCCAAGCUUUUGAGUUAGUUAGACCAAAAAAAAAUUAAAAAUGAAAUAAAAAAUAUUUGGAUUGCAAAAAUAUAUCAAGAUCCAAAGAUGGUGUGCGCACUUGUCUGUGGUCAUUUACCAUUAUAAUGAAUGGGAGGCGCAGUUUCUACCAAAACACUUGCUGCAGACAAACUUCAUGACCUAUAUGAAAAAAGUCUGGACCAUGAGUGAGGGCACAAACACAGCUAGUAUAUAUCCAAAUGGCAAGUUGCUCCUCCUUUCGGUUUUGCAGAGAGAGCGGUGUGUUUGAGCCAUUGAGCGAUGGGCAGGAAAAACUUGACUUUUUCUCCUGCCUUGGGGGGGCGCUCUUUUGGUGAGAAAAAAAUUACUUCACAAAUGUUUUGAUGGCUGAACAUUGCAUCAUCCUAGAAAACUUGGAUGAGUGGCCAAAACUUCUUUGUCUGCUGUAAAAUCAAAUUGGAUUAAUAUUUUUUCCAGAUUUUUUUUUGUACAUCUCUUAUUUUACUUCUGCCCUGUUCAAAACUAGCAAAUGUUUCAUUAAAGAUAUUUUUUUAACCCUUUAAGAGCCUUUUAAAUUUUUCUGUAGUAUCAGAUUUAAUAGACAACUCCUUUGGCGCCACUCAGUGGCCAUAACUACUUUGUCUGCUGUUAAUAGACAACUCCCUUUGGCGCCACUCAGUGGCCAAAACAAUUUGUAAUCAUAUGGAUUUUUGGGUUAUCUUUGGCGCCCCCUAGAACGUAAAACGUGGGGUUCAGCGUCAUGAUUUGUACAACUUUGAAUGGUCAGUUAGACCAAAAAGAAUGAAAAAUGAAAAGAAAAUAUUUGGGGUUUUCGGGCUUCCUGAAGGUAAUACCCGGGUAUCAGGUUAUGGGGCUAUGGUAAGGUUUAAGGUUUUUGGCGUUAGGGUUAAAAUCACUGUCCAAAACCUUUGGAGGAACUCUUUUCCAACCUUUUGGAGUUAGUUAGACCAAAAAAAAGAAAAAUGAAAAAAAAAUAUUUGGGGUUUUCGGGCUUCCUGAUGGCAAUACCCGGGAAUCAGUUUCUGGGGCUUUGGAAAGGUUUAAGGUUUUUGGCGUUAGGGUUAAAAUCACUGUCCAAAACCUUUGUAGGAACUCUUUUCCAAGCUUUUGGAGUUAGUUACACCAAAAAAAAAAGAAAAAUGAAAAAAUAUUUGGGGUGUUCGGGCUUCCUGAAGGUAAUACCCAGGUAUUAGGUUAUGGGGCUAGGGUAAGGUUUUAGGUUUUUGGCGUUAGGGUUAAAAUCAAUGUCCAAAACCUUUGUAGGAACUCUUUUCCAAGCUUUUGGAGUUAGUUAGACCAAAAAAACAUGAAAAAUGAAAAAAUAUAUAUUUGGGGUGUUCGGGCAUCCUGAAGGUAAUACCCGGGUAUUAGGUUUUGGGGCUAAGGUAAGGUUUAAGGUUUUUGGCGUGAGGGUUAAAAUCACUGUCAAAAACCUUUGUAGGAACUCUUUUCCAACCUUUUGGAGUCAGUAUGACCAAAAAAAAAUAAAAAAAAUGUAUUUGGGGUGUUCGGGCUUCCUGAAGGUAGUACCCGGGUAUUAGGUUAUGGGGCUUAGGAAAGGUUUAAGGUUUUUGGCGUUAGGGUUAAAAUCACUGUCCAAAACCUUUGUAGGAACUCUUUUCCAACCUUUUUGAGUCAGUUAGACCAAAAAAAAAGAAAAAAGAAAAAAAUAUAUUUGCGGUUUUCAGGCUUCCUGGAGGUAAUACCCGGGUAUUAGGUUAUGGGGCUUAGGAAAGGUUUAAGGUUUUUGGUGAUAGGGUUAAAAUAACUGUCCAAAACCUUUUUAGGAACAUGUUUCAGACCUUUUGGAGUUGGUUACACCAAAAAAAAAUGUAAAAUGAAAAAAAAAUAUUUGGGGUGUUCAGGCUUCCUGAAGGUAAUACCCGGGUAUUAGGUUAUGGGGCUAUGGUAAGGUUUAAGGUUUUUGACGUAAGGGUGAAAAUAUCUGUCCAAAACCUUUGUAGGAACUCUUUUCCAACCUUAUGGAGUUCGUUAGACCAAAAAAACAAGAAAAAUGAAAAAAAAAUAUUUGGGGUGUUCGGACUUCCUGAAGGUAAUACCCGGGUAUUAGGUUAUGGGGCUAUGGUAAGGUUUAAGGUUUUUGACGUUAGGGUGAAAAUAACUUUCCAAAACCUUUGUAGGAACUCUUUUCCAACCUUAUGGAGUUCGUUAGACCAAAAAAAAAAGAAAAAUGAAAAAAAAAAAUUUGGGGUGUUCGGGCUUCCUGAAGGUAAUACCCAGGCAUUAGGUUUUGGGGCUAGGGUAAGGUUUGAGGUUUUUGGCAUUAGGGUUAAAAUCACUGUCCAAUACCUUUUUAGGAACACGUUUCAGACCUUUUGGAGUUUGUACACCAAAAAAAAAAUGUAAAAUUAAAAAAAAAUAUUUGGGGUGUUCAGGCUUCCUGAAGGUAAUACCCGGGUAUCAGGUUAUGGGGCUAUGGUAAGGUUUAAGGUUUUUGGCGUUAGGGUUAAAAUCACUGUCCAAAACCUUUGUAGGAACUCUUUUCCAACCUUUUGGAGUCAGUUCGACCAAAAAAAAAGAAAAAUGAAAAAAAAAAUAUUUGGGGUUUUCAGGCUUCCUGGAGGUAAUACCGUAAUAUUAGGUUAAGGGGCUAUGGUAAGGUUUAAGGUUUUUGGCGAUAGGGUUAAACUAACUGUCCAAAACCUUUUUAGGAACAUGUUUCAGACCUUUUGGAGUUGGUUACACACAAAAAAAUGUAAAAUGAAAAAAAAAUAUUUGGGGUGUUCGGGCUUCCUGAAGGUAAUAACCGGGUAUUAGGUUAUGGGGCUAUGGUAAGGUUUAAGGUUUUUGACGUUAGGGUGAAAAUAACUGUCCAAAACCUUUGUAGGAACUCUUUUCCAACCUUUUUGUUACGACCAGCUCGUUUAAGGGAGAAGGGAAGCAACAUAAAACCGACCAGAUGUUAAAUGAUCAAAUCAAGUUAUUUAUUAACAAAAGUAAAAUUGGCAGUAACAACAAAAAGAGAGGCAACAAAGGCCUUAAAGGAAACUUAACAGGUUGCCAAAAACACAGGGAGACUCUAACCUAGAGUUAGUUACCAGUAAAAUAAACAGAUCUGCUCACAAUCGGCAAGAAACAAACUAAAACACAACUCUCAGCCCUAAUGCUGGAUACAAAAGAAAGCAGGUAGGCGUGUGCAAACCAAAAUGCCUCACAAGCUAUGAAAAAGUCCUUAUUCACAAUUACUAAGACAAUCAGUCUGAGGAAGAGGCAUGGGAGCUCCACUGGUUACAGCGUGCUCCCUGAUCUGCAGGUCCGCUGGAGUUUUAUCCACUCCCCCCAAGUGGCUCCUCUCAAUUGGCAGAAGCCCUCAGCCAGUCAGUGUUUGCAGUUUCCAGGUGGAGGUGAUCAGGCACUUAAUUGAUCCGCAGCCACGGCAACCUGUGAACUGCAGGCAGCAUGCACACACAGGCACUCUCACACCCGCACACACACACACACACACAGAGAGAGAGAGGAAGACCCAAGACUCGCCACUCUAAGGCGGCGGCCGUAACACCCCUCCCCUUAAGAGGCAAACCCUCCUAAGGAGGUUUGUCAUGAGCAAAAAAAAAAAAACCACACAGUCAACAUUACAUUCUGGACAACGCAUCUGCUACCACAUUGUCGGACCCCUUUUUGUGCUGGAUCUCCACAUUGUAAUCCUGCAUGACCAGUGCCCACCGCAUAAGCCUUUGGUUGUGGUUAUACAUACGAUGCAGAAAGACGAGUGGGUUGUGGUCAGUGAAGACCACCACUGGCAGAGGACUGGAACCUACGUAUACUUCAAAGUGUUGAAGUGACCAUAACAAAGCAAGGGUUUCUUUUUCUAUGAUUGAGUAGUUCACCUGAUGCUUGUUAAAUUUGCGGGAAAAAUAUCCUACUGGGUGGUCAACUCCAUCACUAUCCUCCUGCAACAGGACAGCCCCGACACCUACUGCAGAGGCAUCUACCUCAAGUUUGAACGGCUGGGAGAAGUCAGGAGCUGCAAGGACAGGGGCGUGGCUAAGGAGGGACUUUGCGCUGUCAAACGCAUGCUGACAGGCAGGGGACCAAUCAAAGUCGACUUUGGGACUAGUUAGAGAAGUCAACGGCUGAACAACGGAGGAGAAGUUGCGGCAGAAGCUACGGUAGUAGCCCGCCAUGCCCAGAAAACGACGGAGCGCCUUGCGGGUGGUUGGGACCGGAAACUCUGCUAUGGCAGUUACCUUGGCGUCGAGAGGCUUAACUUGACCCUGCCCAACCUGUCGUCCUAAAUAGGUGACGGUGGCCUUACCGAAAUCACACUUGGCGAGAUUUAGCGUUAGGGUCGCGUGCGCAAGACGAGUGAACACCUGUUCGAGGAUGCGGAGGUGCUCCUGCCACGUCACUGUGUAAACAAUUAAGUCAUCCAAGUACGCGUUACAGUUUGGCAGCCCGGCCAAGACGGUAUUAACGAGCCGCUGGAAGGUGGCCGGGGCGUUACACAUGCCAAACGCCAUGACGGUGUACUGCAAGAAACAGUCAGGAGUCACAAACGCGGAGAUCUCAGAUGCGCGCUCCGUUAACGGGACUUGCCAGUAUCCUUUCAAUAGGUCCAGCUUGCUGACGUACUUAGCGCUGCCAAGCGUGUCGACACAAUCUUCCAUUCUAGGAAGAGGAACGAGUCUUUGACAGUUACUGAAUUUACCUUUCGCAGAUCUGUGAUAAAACGAGGGGUACCGUCUGAUUUUUUCUCCAACAAACAUGGAGAGCUCCAAGCGCUGGAGCUUGGCACAGCUAAACCGUGUUUUAACAAAUAAUCUGUUUCUUUUUUCAUGAGCUGGCGCUUCACGGGGUUGAGUCUGUACGGAUGCUGUCGGAUGGGCUUUGCUCCGUUGACAUCUAUGUCAUGUUGCAGAACAGUAGUGCGAGUUGGAACGUCGCCGAAAAGACACUUAAAAUUAUCGAUCAAAGCAAUUAGGUCACUUUGUUGCGCGCGGGUCAAAUGACUUAGCUGGGACGAUAAUGUUUUCAGUGACUCCGAAUUCAGCAGUCGCGCUGUUUGAUGCGAUGAGGUACACGUCUGUAAAUCAUCCUCAUCAGCAAUGGUAGGAGACUCAGUGACAAUCAGCGCAUUGACAGCGAUAGUAUUAGCUUUUGGGGGAACCACUGGUGGAGUGACAGCUGGGUUCGGUUCACGUGUGAAGUAAGGUUUGAGCAUGUUUAUGUGACAAACACGACUUUUACGCCUUCUCUCCGGGGUAGCAAUAACAUAGUUGAGGUCACUGAGGCAUUCACGGACCUCAUAGGGACCGGUAAAUUUAGCAGAGAGAGAAGAACCAGGGAUCGGCAGAAAGGCCAGCACUUUGUCACCAACAUCAAAUCGGCGGGGGGCCGGCAGAUCGGUCAUAACGACGCUUCAUCACAGCCUGGGAGGACAAAAGACACUCUUUAGCGAGCGAGUUUGCACGGUGUAAACGCUCGCGGAAUUUACUCACAAAAUCAAGUACGUUCUCUUCACGUGAGACUUCAGAGGACAGGAAUUUUUCUUGCAGAGAUUUAAGCGGACCGCGGAGUGUGUGGCCAAAUACGAGCUCUGCGGGGCUCAAACCUAAGGAUUCCUGGACAGCGUCACGAGCGGCGAACAACACGAAAGGAACCCCUUCAUCCCAACUUUUACCUGUCUCGAGGGAGUAUUUACGCAGCAUGGAUUUUAAUGUCUGAUGCCAACGUUCUAACGCUCCCUGGGAUUCAGGAUGAUACGCGCUGGACACGGAGUGUUGGACAUUGAGCGUUUUAAGGACUUGUCUGAACAACCGAGACUGGAAGUUUGUACCUUGAUCGGUCUGGAUAACACGAGGGAGGCCAAACGUGGAGAAAAACUUUGUCAGGGCUUUGACAACAGAGCUGGACGUAAUUUUACGCAGCGGGACGGCUUCCGGAUAGCGGGUGGCAGCACACAUAAUGGUGAGUAGGUACUGAUUACCUGUUUUAGAGCGGGGCAAUGGGCCUACACAGUCUAAGAUUACACGCUCAAAGGGCUCACCUAUGGUAGGAAAAGGAUGGAGUGGAGCAGGUGGGAUGGUUUGGUUUGGUUUACCCGCUAGUUGACACACAUGACAAGAGCGACAGAAUUUGGCUACAUCAGAUUUUAACCCAGGCCAGAAGAAAUGCUUGAGGAUGAGGUUGUAGGUCUUAUUCACCCCCAAAUGACCUGACCAUUUGCUCUCGUGGGCAACUGACAAUACAUGCUGCCGGUAUACAAAAGGCACUACAACUUGUAAAGCACUAUAUUCGCAAUCAGACACUGCAAGAGUCCAUUUACGCACCAGGAUGUCUUUAUUCAUUAGGUAAGAUACUGUUUCACCACUUGCUUUGUCGGCACUCACCACACUUUUGAAGCAACGUGCCAGAGUCGGGUCAGCCCUCUGCGCAGCGGCGAGACGUUCACUGCCCACCGGCAGCGUCGGACUGUCCGACGGCGCCGAACUCAGAUUCGCAGAACGCACGGGCUCGGCACUUUCUGACCGCAGAGAUGUGAGAGCUUUCUCCUUCACAACUUCCACAUCUGAAAAAGCAGACAUUAGCACAGAAUCCGACAGUGAGAAUUCAUCCAGUUUACGAGAUUGCGCACGAGUUACAGCACAAGAUGGAAACGGUUUCUGAGCAGUUUCUGUUUCAUUUUCUAUAUCAGGGCUCUGCGGAGAGUCAGACACUUCUAGUGCAGGGGUUACCUGGCCACCAGCGAUGUCGUUGCACAUAAGUAGAACUACUCCUUUUAUAGGCAGAGCGGGACAAACAGCCACAGGAAAAACACCACUUAUCAACCGGGACUUAAUGUGGACUGUAUGCACCGGUUGUGGGACAUAACCCAUCUCAAUACCUUGCAAGGCAACAGUAUAACCACAAAAAGACUUUUCAGAAAAUGGCAAUGCACUAGCCAGUAUAACAGAUUGAGAGCCACCGGUGUCCCUCAAAAUGCGUACUGGGCACUGAUCAGCAGUCUUACCUGUCAGAGAUACAUACCCGUCGAAUAUGAACGGCUCAAAACAUGGAUCUGGGCAAACAGAAGAAACAGCAUUAGAUACUACACGUUUCUCAGAUUUAAUGAGCCCAACGCCUUUAGGGGGCGAUCCGUUGCCAUUCUGUUUUUUCCUGUUUAAGGAGGGACAGUUUGCAAUGAGGUGUCCAGAUUCAUGACAAUAGUUACAGCUUCUUUCAUCCCUUCUGUGGAACACUCUGGCUUGUCCUCUCUGUGGUGCCGGAGCACGAGGCUUUUCAUAAGUAGACAAAAACACAGGUUUGUGGGUUAGCACAAAUUCAUCAGCCAGUACAGAGGCUGCAGAGAGAGAUGAAACUUUCUGUUCAUUUAGGUACACAACAAUGCGCUCUGGUAGACAUUUCUUAAAUUCUUCCAGAAGAAUUAGUUCACGGAGUGAACUGAAAUCAGCAGUUUUACUAGCGUUACACCAUUUAUCAAAAAGAGUUCCCUUUUCCCUUGCGAACUCCACAUACGUCUGUUCAGGGCCCCUUGUGUGGUUCCGAAAUUUUUGCCUGUAAGCUUCAGGGACUAAUUCAUAGGCACGUUAAAUAGACAUCUUUACCUUUUCAUAGUUCAGGCUCUCCGCUAAAGGUAGAGCAGCUACAGCUUCUUGUGCUUUACCAUGGAUCUUACAUUGGAGAAGUAGUGGCCACUCUUCAUAAGGCCACUGAAGUGCAGUCGCAAUGCGCUCAAAUGCCGGAAAAUAACUGUCAACUUCAGAGUCUCUGAAUGGUGGAACAAGAGAAAUAUGCUUACCAAUGUCAAAGGACUCUCGGGUAGAGCUGGUGGAAGGAGGUGACAUUAUUGCAUCUGCAGAUGCAUCCAGUGCCGGGGUUGCUUUCAGCUGAGCUUCUAGCUCCAGCUGACGUAGUCGGACUGCUUUAUCAGCCUCGAUCUCCAUUUUACGGAUCUCAAGCCUCAGCUUUGCUUGCCGGUUCUCGGCUCUCUCCUGAGCCUCCAUCUGGAUUCGUGCCAGCCUGACUUUCAGUCUGGCCUCACCCAGAGAAUCAGUGCUGCCUGAGAAAGGAGGAUCAUAGCGAGGCAAGGUAAAGGGAGUUUUGGGCUGAGCAGACACUUUACUGAACUCCCUUUGUGCAGUGUAAUCAGCCGCAGUCUCAGAGCCAGGUGCACACACAGGUGACUCAGGGAGCACCGGCAAAACAAUUACACCUAAUUCCACCAACUUACCUAUGACUAGAGAUUUUAAUUCUUUUUUCAGGAUUGAUUUGGCAAACAGGACAUUGAAGUGCACAGCUAUCUCGACCAAAUUAUCCUUUCUGCACUUAUUAAUUUGGUCAAGUGUCGGAUUUAACAAGAAGCUGUCAAGAUUGAAAGAUGCCAUUUUACCUACCUAAGCACACACACAAUAAUCUUACCUUUAGUAACAAUAACUUUUCGGAUUUCCGGGUCUCCUUUAACGGAUUAGGAUCCCGGACGAGCCCCCAUUUAUGUUACGACCAGCUCGUUUAAGGGAGAAGGGAAGCAACAUAAAACCGACCAGAUGUUAAAUGAUCAAAUCAAGUUAUUUAUUAACAAAAGUAAAAUUGGCAGUAACAACAAAAAGAGAGGCAACAAAGGCCUUAAAGGAAACUUAACAGGUUGCCAAAAACACAGGGAGACUCUAACCUAGAGUUAGUUACCAGUAAAAUAAACAGAUCUGCUCACAAUCGGCAAGAAACAAACUAAAACACAACUCUCAGCCCUAAUGCUGGAUACAAAAGAAAGCAGGUAGGCGUGUGCAAACCAAAAUGCCUCACAAGCAAUGAAAAAGUCCUUAUUCACAAUUACUAAGACAAUCAGUCUGAGGAAGAGGCAUGGGAGCUCCACUGGUUACAGCGUGCUCCCUGAUCUGCAGGUCCGCUGGAGUUUUAUCCACUCCCCCCAAGUGGCUCCUCUCAAUUGGCAGAAGCCCUCAGCCAGUCAGUGUUUGCAGUCAGUUUCCAGGUGGAGGUGAUCAGGCACUUAAUUGAUCCGCAGCCACGGCAACCUGUGAACUGCAGGCAGCAUGCACACACAGGCACUCUCACACCCGCACACACACACACACACAGAGAGAGAGAGAGAGGAAGACCCAAGACUCGCCACUCUAAGGCGGUGGCCGUAACACUUUUGG